This is a small nucleolar RNA of Rattus norvegicus (Norway rat), 109 nucleotides long. Ensembl annotates it as small nucleolar RNA SNORA51. Lineage: Eukaryota; Metazoa; Chordata; Mammalia; Rodentia; Muridae. The record is from Ensembl.
GGCCUCCUUGUGCUUACCACAAAGAGGAGGCAGAAUAAACCUACCCUGUGUAUAUCUCAGCCUAGGCCACUCACUGUGCCUGGUCUGUAUUGUGAAUGGGUAAACAUGG